This 253-nucleotide ribosomal RNA is filed under the name uncultured bacterium. RNAcentral's name for it is "partial 16S ribosomal RNA". It matches the Rfam family "Bacterial small subunit ribosomal RNA", at positions 524 to 776 of the family's 1533-position model. The record is from RNAcentral.
UACGUAGGGUGCGAGCGUUGUCCGGAAUUAUUGGGCGUAAAGGGCUCGUAGGUGGUUUGUCGCGUUGUUCGUGAAAACUCACAGCUCAACUGUGGGCGUGCGGGCGAUACGGGCAGACUGGAGUACUGCAGGGGAGACUGGAAUUCCUGGUGUAGCGGUGGAAUGCGCAGAUAUCAGGAGGAACACCGGUGGCGAAGGCGGGUCUCUGGGCAGUAACUGACGCUGAUACGCGAAAGCGUGGGGAGCGAAUCGG